AUCCAGCUGACGAGUCUCAAAUAAGACGAAUCACGCCUACUGGAU
Molecule: non-coding RNA, 45 nt
Filed under: Schistosoma curassoni
Lineage: Eukaryota; Metazoa; Platyhelminthes; Trematoda; Strigeidida; Schistosomatidae
Source: RNAcentral